GACCAAGGUUGCUGCCGGGGUCUCUUGGUAGACUCAGGCUCUCCCUGGCCAUGGCACCUUAGCCAAGUCAUUGAACCUGGACACUUUUUGUCCAACAGAUUUGUUUUCCUGUUUCAGUCUCUGAAGGAGGAAUUGCUUUUGCUCCUCCUGGCUCUGUCAUCUGCCCUCCCUGGACCUAAGCCCUCUCUUUUCUCUCCUGUGUCUCCUGGCCUCAGACAGGCUGCCCACCAUCCCACCCUGACUUCUGGCUGUGUAGCAGGAAUGGUGUGCACUGGACAUGGCAGUCUGUUCAACCACAAGACUGGACUAGAAGAUAACCCAUUUACACAGUGAAGAUUCGGGUGACAGAGGUGAGAAGCCAGUCUUGGGAGCUCCUGCUACCGUGUGUGGCUUCUGACAUGAACCUUGGGAACGCCUUCACUGGUCUGGCCCAUGAGCAGCCAACCUAGCAGCUCCAACCUGGCAGGAGCUACAGGAAAGACGAGAGCCCUGGAACCCACAACAGGCCCACUGAGCGUUCAUUGACUUCCUAGGGGUUUGCCCUACCCUGGGCUCACGUCUCACAUGCUGGCUUAAGCAGGAUAAGACACUCUGCAAUCCAGUUCUGAACUGUGUAUACAAGCUGUAGCGCUCAGAAGAACACUGAGAAAGGGAAGGUGACGUGGGCUGGAAGGUGAUGGGUCAUGUAGGAGUGCCGAGCCUCUUGGCGACUGUGUGUGGAGAGUUUUAGGUCUGUACCAAAACGCAAUUCUUUUGCCUCUUUCGCACCACUAGUUAGCGGGCUCUAAGGCAGGUGGUAUUCAUGGCAUGUUCACUGCCUAUCCACCCGGUCACUGAGCAGACACUUAUAGGACAUUAACUUUAUUCCCUUCCCUGGUCAGAUGGUGAGGAAGUACAAGGGUGAUGGGUAGGGUGCUGUCCCCAAGGAGCUCACAGUGGGGCUCAAGGCUUUGAGGCUUAGGGUCAUGGUUGCUUGUUGAGCUGUAUCCCAAUACAAAGCUCACAGGUAACCAAUCUGAUGACCAAGGUUAAGCCCACUAAAAUGUUCUAAUGACCCCUUGCAUAGAGAACAAGGACUUACAAUAGAACAGGAUGACACCAGGUGCAUUUUGUUUCGUAAUCUGUUGACAGCAAGCUUUAUCUGAAAUCUUUUCCAUUAUGAAAGGCUAAGGAAGCCCCAUUCAUCCCAGUUACCACUGCCUAGGAACCAUAUCAUGUGACACAGGCUAAUUAGAGG
This 1237-nucleotide long non-coding RNA is filed under the name Homo sapiens (human). RNAcentral describes it as "HSALNT0301771". Lineage: Eukaryota; Metazoa; Chordata; Mammalia; Primates; Hominidae. The record is from RNAcentral.